This is a long non-coding RNA of Colossoma macropomum (tambaqui), 143 nucleotides long. RefSeq lists it as uncharacterized. The transcript is spliced from 3 exons. NCBI's taxonomy places the organism in Eukaryota, Metazoa, Chordata, Actinopteri, Characiformes, Serrasalmidae. The record is from RefSeq and is a predicted model, not a curated record.
GGUUUCUGCUCCUCAGCAGCGACCUCAACUUCCCCAGAAACGCAAAAGUAGGACAGAGCAGCCUGUCCAACAGAAAGAGAGACAACAGAAUGUAAACGCUGCUCGAGUGGGUUCGCCUCCUUUACCUCCAAGCAGACAUCAAA